This 371-nucleotide ribosomal RNA is filed under the name uncultured organism. Its description in RNAcentral is "bacterial SSU rRNA". It matches the Rfam family "Bacterial small subunit ribosomal RNA", at positions 526 to 896 of the family's 1533-position model. The record is from RNAcentral.
CAGAGGGUGCAAGCGUUAAUCGGAUUUACUGGGCGUAAAGCGUGAGUAGGUGGCUCGCUAAGUCGGUUGUGAAAUCCCUGGGCUCAACCUGGGAAUUGCAGUCGAUACUGACGAGCUCGAGUUCGGUAGAGGGUGACGGAAUUCCCGGUGUAGUGGUGAAAUGCGUAGAUAUCGGGAGGAACAUCGAUGGCGAAGGCAAUCACCUGGGCCUGAACUGACACUGAGACACGAAAGCGUGGGUAGCAAACAGGGUUAGAUACCCUGGUAGUCCACGCCGUAAACGAUGAGAACCUGACGUCGGUUUGCUCUGCGAAUCGGUGUCGUAGCUAACGCGCUGAGUUCUCCGCCUGGGGAGUACGGCCGCAAGGUUG